This 239-nucleotide ribosomal RNA is filed under the name uncultured bacterium. RNAcentral's name for it is "partial 16S ribosomal RNA". It matches the Rfam family "Bacterial small subunit ribosomal RNA", at positions 95 to 334 of the family's 1533-position model. The record is from RNAcentral.
CCGGCGCACGGGUGCGUAACGCGUAUGCAACCUACCUCUAACUGGGGAAUAGCCCCGAGAAAUCGGGAUUAAUACCCCAUAACAUUCAUCUUUCGCAUGUUAGAUGAAUUAAAGUUCCGACGGUUAGAGAUGGGCAUGCGUGACAUUAGUUUGUUGGCGAGGUAACGGCUCACCAAGACUUCGAUGUCUAGGGGUUCUGAGAGGAUUAUCCCCCACACUGGUACUGAGACACGGACCAG